GACGAACGCUGGCGGCGUGCCUAAUACAUGCAAGUCGAACGCAGUGGGGACGGGUGAGUAACACGUGGGUAACCUCCCAUCAGAGGGGAUAACACUUGGAAACAGGUGCUAAACCGAUACUGAUGGAUGGACCCGCGGUGCAUUAGCUAGUUGGUGAGGUAACGGCUCACCAAGGCGAGGAUCAGUAGCCGGGCUGAGAGGAUGAAAGGCCACAUUGGGACUGAGACACGGCCCAGACUCCUACGGGAGGCAGCAGUGGGGAAUCUUCCGCAAUGGACGAAAGUCUGACCGAGCAACGCCGCGUGAGUGAAGAAGGUUUUCGGAUCGUAAAACUCUGUUGUUAGAGAAGCGGUAUCUAACCAGAAAGCCACGGCUAACUACGUGCCAGCAGCCGCGGUAAUUC
Molecule: ribosomal RNA, 403 nt
Filed under: uncultured bacterium
Lineage: Bacteria
Description: partial 16S ribosomal RNA
Rfam family: Bacterial small subunit ribosomal RNA
Source: RNAcentral